GAGGGUGCAAGCGUUACUNGGAAUCACUGGGCGUAANGGAUGCGUAGGCUGGAAAUCAAGUCGAGAGUGAAAUNCNACGGCUUAACCGUUGAACUGCUCUCGAAACUGGUUACCUAGAAUAUGGGAGAGGUAGAUGGAAUUGGUGGUGUAGGGGUAAAAUNCNUAGAUAUCACCAGGAAUACCGAUUGCGAAGGCGAUCUACUGGAACAUUAUUGACGCUGAGGCAUGAAAGCGUGGGGAGCAAACAGGAUUAGAUACCCUGGUAGUCCACGCCCUAAACGAUGCACACUAGUUGUUGCGAUGCUAGUCAUUGCAGUAAUGCACUUAACAGAUUAAGUGUGCCGCCUGGGGAGUACGGUCGCAAGAUUAAAACUCAAAGGAAUAGACGGGGACCCGCACAAGCGGUGGAGCAUGUGGUUUAAUUCGAAGAUACACGAAGAACCUUACCUGGCCUUGAUAUCCUAAGAAUCCUGUAGAGAUACGGGAGUGCUAGUUUACUAGAACUUAGAGACAGGUGCUGCACGGCUGUCGUCAGCUCGUGUCGUGAGAUGUUGGGUUAAGUCCCGCAACGAGCGCAACCCUCGUGAUUAGUUGCUAACAGUUCGGCUGAGCACUCUAAUCAGACUGCCUUCGUAAGGAGGAGGAAGGUGAGGACGACGUCAAGUCAUCAUGGCCCUUAUGGCCAGGGCUACACACGUGCUACAAUGGCUAGGACAAAGAGACGCGAUACUGCGAAGUGGAGCAAAUCUUAAAACCUAGUCUCAGUUCGGAUUGGAGUCUGCAACUCGACUCCAUGAAGCUGGAAUCGCUAGUAAUCGUAGAUCAGAUAUGCUACGGUGAAUACGUUCCCGGGUCUUGUACUCACCGCCCGUCACACCAUGGGAGUUGAAUUCACCCGAAGCCGGAAUACUAAACUAGUUACCGACCACGGUGGGUUCAGCGACUGGGGUG
Molecule: ribosomal RNA, 951 nt
Filed under: bacterium enrichment culture clone ZZ_H9b
Lineage: Bacteria
Description: bacterial SSU rRNA
Rfam family: Bacterial small subunit ribosomal RNA
Source: RNAcentral